CUCUCUUCCUGGGGAACUGCCUGCAUGCAGUAAGGGGAGAGCCGGACACAGUUGCUAUGGUAAAUCACUGUCAGUAUUUUUCUAAGUGCCUGGACUGAAUGACGAUGUCUGAGGAACCCAACUUGAUGUUCGGAGCAUCCAACAGUUCACGGUCCUGAACUGUUAAUUUAUGGAGACCCGCUUCCCUCAGAAACUCUACACCAUCUAUCGGAUCAUCCGAAGAGGAUUCAUAAAAUUUUUUAAAAUGGUCUGCCAUUAUGUUUCUCAUCUGUAAUGUAUCAUGAGUCCAUCCCGUAUCAGUUUUUAGUUUUUGUAUAUGGGCAUUAUUAAUUCGUCUUUUAGCAAUUUGUGCCAAUAAUUUCCCUGACUUGUUUCCAUAUCUAUAAAAUUUAUUGGUAGUAUGGCAAAUUGAUUUAUGUGCUUUUUCCGUCAAUAAAAUAUCAAAAAGUU
Xenopus laevis (African clawed frog) is the source of this 450-nucleotide long non-coding RNA. RefSeq lists it as uncharacterized. The record is from RefSeq and is a predicted model, not a curated record. The transcript is spliced from 3 exons. NCBI's taxonomy places the organism in Eukaryota, Metazoa, Chordata, Amphibia, Anura, Pipidae.